Apis florea (little honeybee) is the source of this 1358-nucleotide long non-coding RNA. RefSeq lists it as uncharacterized. Lineage: Eukaryota; Metazoa; Arthropoda; Insecta; Hymenoptera; Apidae. The record is from RefSeq and is a predicted model, not a curated record.
UUUUUAAUUCGUUCUCCUAAAAUGAUAUUUAUCGACUUUGAUGUUAAAUAAAAAAAAACAUAUUACAAUUUUUAAUAAAAAAUUUUUCUUCCUAUCAACAAAGCAGUUCAAAAUUCCUGUAAAAAUUUAAAAUUCUUUCGAGAUAACUUUUUUCUACGAGUUACGACAAGCAUAGAUUAUUUUCUAAAUCUAUUUUUUUUUUUUUUUGAUUUCUUAUAUAAAUGUUUGCCAAUGUUUGAUUUUUAUAAUAUUAAGAAUUUUCAUUUUAAAAUAAUUUUAAGUAUUUUCUAGUCUCCGUAGGCUAUUAUUACAGGACUAUCUACUUAUUAACAAGGAUGUUGCGCGUGAGCAACUUUAAGAAGGGCGAUGAAAGGACAUUUGAUUAUUUUGGAAUGCUGUAUCGUGAACAGCUAGGUGAUGAUGAUGAGUUUAAAACCAGUUCUCCUUGGAUGCUUUGAGGGGCCAAGAGUUUCAUGAGAUAUUCAGGAUUACUCGCCCCCGUUUCCGUGAAUCUUUGAAGCGUUAUGAGACAAUUAGGCACUUCCAAAUUAUAACUUACUUCCGACAACUAUCUUCGUUGUUUAUCUAUGAAUUUUCCUGCAAUUUGGAAUCAAUUACAUGUAAAAAAAAAUCAUAAACAGUAUAUGAUAUAUUAUUUCUUAUAAGAAAACCAUAAAAUAUAAUUUUUUUAUAUAAUGUAAAAUAAAAGUCAAACUAUUGAAUGAAUUACUUCAUAGUACAAUUUGUUCAAUAGUUCCGUAAUAUCAUCUUGUGAAUUACAUCUAUUUGACAUCAAAGUAUAAAUUGAAUUGGGAAAAUGAAGGAUGGAUGAACAUUGUAUUGACUUACAAAUUCCAUUAUAUCCAUAUAUAACAUCAAUUUCAUUAUACAAUUUAAAAUGAAUACUGUUUGAUACCGACAUAAUAAAUGUGAUAUCUCAUUGCAUUCAUACCUGUUUACACUGAACAAAAUACAUUUAUCAGUUAGUGAUACUGCUAUACUUUAGAUAGCUUGAUUUGCUAUCUAAAUCUUACAAAUUUCUUUCAGAAUUUUACUUGUAACGGUAACAAACAAUUUAAAGAACAAUCAUCUUUAAAGAGACCGUGUACAACAUAUACUUACGAAUAAAAUAAAAAUACGUAUAAUCCAUCCUUUAUUUUUUUCCAAUUCCUGGAAUUAAACGAGAUACGUAACAUCAGGCGAUCGUGGUAUUUUCAAAAAAUCACGUAUGUACACACUUUCUGAUUCCAAUGCAGAUAUCGGCUCGUGACAUUCGAAAAUCCGGCACACAGAGCAACAAGUCCUUCGGUGCAAGAUCGAUCCAUCCGAUCGAUCAGAGUGGCGCGUGGCAAUGCCAC